UAGGCACAUGUGGCAGAACGCACCGCUGUGGACCGCUGCCCCCUGACCAUCCUCCCGCCUCACAACUUGCUGCCGUGUGUUUCAGUGCUCACAAGCGCCGCGAUAUCAACAUCAAGACCCCCUCUUCCUCCCACGCACGCACACUUGUCUUGGGUGCGGCCUCCUCCCAUCGAGUCCGUGGCGAACGACCAGACCCGUCGAGAGAGGUGAAGCAGCGCAACAGCGACGGCACACGCACACACGAACAUCAACUUGCACGCCUCACCUUUCGCAGAGGCCGAAAAUGAGCGAGCGGAAGCCCGACGUCAAGUUGGCGGACAUUAGUCCGGAGAUGCAGGCAGACGCCCUAGACAUUGCCACCAAAGCCAUCAAGGAGCAUCAUCUAGAGAAAGAUAUGGCCGCGCACAUCAAGCGCGAGUUCGACAAGCGCUACUUCCCUACGUGGCACUGCAUCGUCGGCCGCAACUUUGGCGCCGAUGUCGAGCACGAGGCCAAGAAUUUCAUAUACCUCUACGUUGGGCAGGUGUCCGUGCUCUUGUGGAAGACAGCGUAGGACAUGCUGGGAGCUGCGUACGUGCAUUGUGCGGCGUCUCUUGAGCUCUGCGCGUUGGCCUCUCCUCCUGCUCCCCCUUUUGUUCCCCCCCCCGGCGGGGGGGGCCGCUGUGUCGCUGUUGGCUGGCGCGAUUGCGCCGUUGCCGUGACGAUUUCGCAAGAGCACACAUCUGUGCGCCGUCUUGGAUGUACAUAGGCUGGCAUGCCAUCGCGCACCCAUACGCACCCAUCGUGCACUUGGGCAACGCCCGCGACUUGCCGGCCUCUUAGAGCAUGCAUUGCGCCUGCGCGUGCGGGUGUGUUUGAGGUCUUGGGCCACUCUUUGUUUGCCUCGCCCUCGUGAGUUGUAGCGGUGCCCCCCCCCCCUGUCGUUCCCAACCGCAACGAUGCAAACCACUAAGAAUGCGAAUAGCUCUCCAGACCGAGCAUGGAGUGUAUGAGCAUCAGCGUCCCUGCGCGUAUGUCAUUGCAGGCAUCCUUCUUUCUCUGCACGCGCCCUCGCGGUUGCCCCUUGAAGGCCAGACGCCCCGCUGCCGCGCUGGCGCGCUUCGCGUUGCCGAAUCUCAGUCGUGCCUGCCUUGGCGUACACGCACAGGUUUUGUUGAAGGACUGGGUAGCAGAAGAGCCACUGCCGAGCCCAUACGUCGGCGCGAAUUCCUGUACGAGGCCCCUCCCGCUGCCCUGCCCCUCUCGUUUAGCCUCUCACACCUUUUCUUCUGCCUGCCUCUUUCUCUUUGUCGUUCUUGGUAUGAGCGCCAG
RNAcentral lists this unclassified non-coding RNA (1311 nucleotides) under Leishmania donovani. RNAcentral's name for it is "gene:LdHU3.25.0320(CDS-product:Dynein_light_chain _1_cytoplasmic_putative)". The record is from RNAcentral. Lineage: Eukaryota; Euglenozoa; Kinetoplastea; Trypanosomatida; Trypanosomatidae.